This 385-nucleotide unclassified non-coding RNA is filed under the name soil metagenome. RNAcentral's name for it is "partial contains 5.8S ribosomal RNA, internal transcribed spacer 2, and large subunit ribosomal RNA". The stretch from base 4 to 121 matches the Rfam family "5.8S ribosomal RNA", at positions 37 to 154 of the family's 154-position model. The record is from RNAcentral.
GAUUGAAGAACGCAGCGAAAUGCGAUAAGUAAUGUGAAUUGCAGAAUUCAGUGAAUCAUCGAAUCUUUGAACGCACCUUGCACCCUUUGGCAUUCCGAAGGGUAUGCUCGUUUGAGUGUCAUUGUACUCUCACUCUCCCGAUGCUUUUGGAUGGGGAGUGGUGGACUUGGGUGUUGCUGCUUUGCUGUGGCUCGCCUCAAAUGGAGUAGUGCAACUCUUGGUUGGACAUAGUACGGCGUGAUAAGUGUCUUCGCCGGCGCCUCAUUAUAGAGGGUGGCCGAUCGGGAGCUCUGUGCUUCAAACCGUCUUCGGACAACAUCUGACAACUUGACCUCAAAUCGAGUAGGACUACCCGCUGAACUUAAGCAUAUCAAUAAGCGGAGGA